RNAcentral lists this ribosomal RNA (558 nucleotides) under uncultured bacterium. RNAcentral describes it as "bacterial SSU rRNA". It matches the Rfam family "Bacterial small subunit ribosomal RNA", at positions 284 to 842 of the family's 1533-position model. The record is from RNAcentral.
UAGGGGUUCUGAGAGGAAGGUCCCCCACAUUGGUACUGAGACACGGACCAAACUCCUACGGGAGGCAGCAGUGAGGAAUAUUGGUCAAUGGGCGUAAGCCUGAACCAGCCAAGUCGCGUGAGGGAUGAAGGUUCUAUGGAUCGUAAACCUCUUUUAUAAGGGAAUAAAGUGUGGGACGUGUCCUAUUUUGUAUGUACCUUAUGAAUAAGGAUCGGCUAACUCCGUGCCAGCAGCCGCGGUAAUACGGAGGAUCCGAGCGUUAUCCGGAUUUAUUGGGUUUAAAGGGUGCGUAGGCGGCCUUUUAAGUCAGCGGUGAAAGUCUGUGGCUCAACCAUAGAAUUGCCGUUGAAACUGGGGGGCUUGAGUAUGUUUGAGGCAGGCGGAAUGCGUGGUGUAGCGGUGAAAUGCUUAGAUAUCACGCAGAACCCCGAUUGCGAAGGCAGCCUGCCAAGCCAUGACUGACGCUGAUGCACGAAAGCGUGGGGAUCAAACAGGAUUAGAUACCCUGGUAGUCCACGCAGUAAACGAUGAUCACUAGCUGUUUGCGAUACAGUGUAA